AGUUUGAUCCUGGCUCAGAUUGAACGCUGGCGGCAGGCCUAACACCAAGUCGAGCGGAUGAAAGGAGCUUGCUCCUGGAUUCAGCGGCGGACGGGUGAGUAAUGCCUAGGAAUCUGCCUGGUAGUGGGGGACAACGUUUCGAAAGGAACGCUAAUACCGCAUACGUCCUACGGGAGAAAGCAGGGGACCUUCGGGCCUUGCGCUAUCAGAUGAGCCUAGGUCGGAUUAGCUAGUUGGUGAGGUAAUGGCUCACCAAGGCGACGAUCCGUAACUGGUCUGAGAGGAUGAUCAGUCACACUGGAACUGAGCCGUCUACGGGAGGCAGCAUGAAUAUUGGACAAUGGGCGAAAGCCUGAUCCAGCCAUGCCGCGUGUGUGAAGAAGGUCUUCGGAUUGUAAAGCACUUUAAGUUGGGAGGAAGGGCGUARAUUAAUACUUGCUUUUGACGUUACCGACAGAAUAAGCACCGGCUAACUCUGUGCCAGCAGGCGGUAAUACAGAGGGGCAAGCGUUAAUCGGAAUUACUGGGCGUAAAGCGCGCGUAGGUGGUUUGUUAAGUUGGAUGUGAAAUCCCGGGCUCAACCUGGGAACUGCAUCCAAAACUGGCAAGCUAGAGUAUGGUAGAGGGUGGUGGAAUUUCCUGUGUAGCGGUAAAUGCGUAGAUAUAGGAAGGAACACCAGGCGAAGGCGACCACCGACGAUACAC
This 705-nucleotide ribosomal RNA is filed under the name Pseudomonas koreensis. Its description in RNAcentral is "bacterial SSU rRNA". It matches the Rfam family "Bacterial small subunit ribosomal RNA", at positions 10 to 740 of the family's 1533-position model. The record is from RNAcentral. Lineage: Bacteria; Pseudomonadati; Pseudomonadota; Gammaproteobacteria; Pseudomonadales; Pseudomonadaceae.